UCGUACUCCACGGGGGUUUAGCGAGCCUCUCGACCCGAGCGCUUUAGCGGGGUGCAGAGCCUACUGUGAGGGUUGUGUGAGUAUUGAUAAAUUGUUUAAUAUCGUUGACGGGCUGAAUUAUGGUGGCGUAAUCUGUCGAACCAUGUCAGGGUGGAAACACAGCAGCAUUAAGGCAAUCUUUGCGGGUGCUAUAACUUUAGUCAAGAGGUGUUAAGCAAGGAGUCAGUAUUUGCUCAAUUCGAUAGGUAGUGGUACGA
RNAcentral lists this signal recognition particle RNA (257 nucleotides) under Candidatus Melainabacteria bacterium. Its description in RNAcentral is "signal recognition particle sRNA large type". It matches the Rfam family "Bacterial large signal recognition particle RNA". Rfam says of the family: The signal recognition particle (SRP) is a universally conserved ribonucleoprotein involved in the co-translational targeting of proteins to membranes. Archaeal SRP consists of a 7S RNA and homologues of the eukaryotic SRP19 and SRP54 proteins. In most bacteria, the SRP consists of a 4.5S RNA and the Ffh protein (a homologue of the eukaryotic SRP54 protein). Lineage: Bacteria; Bacillati; Candidatus Melainabacteria. The record is from RNAcentral.